GCUCUGGAAGGAAGGACUCUGCC
This 23-nucleotide non-coding RNA is filed under the name Cricetulus griseus (Chinese hamster). The record is from RNAcentral. Lineage: Eukaryota; Metazoa; Chordata; Mammalia; Rodentia; Cricetidae.